Molecule: ribosomal RNA, 497 nt
Filed under: uncultured bacterium
Lineage: Bacteria
Description: partial 16S ribosomal RNA
Rfam family: Bacterial small subunit ribosomal RNA
Source: RNAcentral
GAUGAACGCUGGCGGCGUGCCUAAUACAUGCAAGUCGAGCGAACAGACGAGGAGCUUGCUCCUCUGACGUUAGCGGCGGACGGGUGAGUAACACGUGGAUAACCUACCUAUAAGACUGGGAUAACUUCGGGAAACCGGAGCUAAUACCGGAUAAUAUAUUGAACCGCAUGGUUCAAUAGUGAAAGACGGUUUUGCUGUCACUUAUAGAUGGAUCCGCGCCGCAUUAGCUAGUUGGUAAGGUAACGGCUUACCAAGGCAACGAUGCGUAGCCGACCUGAGAGGGUGAUCGGCCACACUGGAACUGAGACACGGUCUAGACUCCUACGGGAGGCAGCAGUAGGGAAUCUUCCGCAAUGGGCGAAAGCCUGACGGAGCAACGCCGCGUGAGUGAUGAAGGUCUUCGGAUCGUAAAACUCUGUUAUUAGGGAAGAACAAAUGUGUAAGUAACUAUGCACGUCUUGACGGUACCUAAUCAGAAAGCCACGGCUAGCUACGUG